UAGGGAAUCUUCGGCAAUGGGGGGAACCCUGACCGAGCAACGCCGCGUGAGUGAAGAAGGUUUUCGGAUCGUAAAGCUCUGUUGUUAAGGAAGAACGAGUGUGAGAAUGGAAAGUUCAUGCUGUGACGGUACUUAACCAGAAAGGGACGGCUAACUACGUGCCAGCAGCCGCGGUAAUACGUCGGUCCCGAGCGUUGUCCGGAUUUAUUGGGCGUAAAGCGAGCGCAGGCGGUUAGAAAAGUCUGAAGUGAAAGGCAGUGGCUCAACCAUUGUAGGCUUUGGAAACUGUUUAACUUGAGUGCAGAAGGGGAGAGUGGAAGUCCAUGUGUAGCGGUGAAAUGCGUAGAUAUAUGGAGGAACACCGGUGGCGAAAGCGGCUCGCUGGUCUGUAACUGACGCUGAGGCUGGAAAGCGUGGGGAGCGAACAGG
Molecule: ribosomal RNA, 429 nt
Filed under: Verrucomicrobiota bacterium
Lineage: Bacteria; Pseudomonadati; Verrucomicrobiota
Description: Verrucomicrobia bacterium partial 16S ribosomal RNA
Rfam family: Bacterial small subunit ribosomal RNA
Source: RNAcentral